ACGUAGGUGGCGAGCGUUAUCCGGAUUUAUUGGGCGUAAAGCGUGCGCAGACGGUUUACUAAGUCUAAAAUUAAAGCCCGAAGCUUAACUUCGGUUCGUUUUAGAAACUGGUAGGCUUGAGUAUGGUAGAGGCAAAUGGAAUUUCUAGUGUAGCGGUAAAAUGCGUAGAUAUUAGAAGGAACAUCAGUGGCGAAGGCGAUUUGCUGGGCCAUUACUGACGUUCAUGCACGAAAGCGUGGGGAGCAAAUAG
This 250-nucleotide ribosomal RNA is filed under the name uncultured prokaryote. RNAcentral's name for it is "partial 16S rRNA". It matches the Rfam family "Bacterial small subunit ribosomal RNA", at positions 525 to 775 of the family's 1533-position model. The record is from RNAcentral.